RNAcentral lists this long non-coding RNA (605 nucleotides) under Oryzias javanicus (javanese ricefish). RNAcentral's name for it is "lncRNA (ENSOJAG00000003495.1)". The record is from RNAcentral. Lineage: Eukaryota; Metazoa; Chordata; Actinopteri; Beloniformes; Adrianichthyidae.
CGCAGUGGGAUUGCGGGCGCAGUGCCGUGGUUUCGGUUGAGCAUUCUUGGCAGCGUCUCCUCGGCGAACUAGCAGCCGACGGUCAGUCAACCCACGGCUCUCUUUUGGUGUUCGGGGAAUUAUAUUUUAGGGAUACUAAGGACCGCGGAGCAUCUCUGGAUUGAAUUAUCGAUCCCUCUCUGCCUACACACCCACACCAAACUUCAUCCCAUCAGCUUCAUCUGACUGGCUUUCUGCAAAAAAGGAUCUCAUUGCUGAUGCGUACCGACAGAUUUUUCAGAAGGAAUUCCCCACUGCAAGAGAAGUAACGUGUUGUGAAAGAGAAGCACUGUUACCUAACCGACCGCUGUUGCAUCCAGAUCUGUCAACAAAAUACAUAUAGGAAAAACUGAGUAUAAUUCAAGUGGAAGCAGAAAAAUUGGGUCAUCUCUGAUCCAGACGUGUCCAUUAUGCCUCAGCAGUAUUUAUUACAACCUGCCAGUUAAAGGCGAUGUCUUGGGGCGCUGGAGGCCACAACACCACGAGCAGAGUGUGCAUGGGGCCUCUCUGCUACCCAUUUCCAGCAACCCUACUGUCAUGUGAAGCCAACGCACUACUGCACUGCC